RNAcentral lists this ribosomal RNA (236 nucleotides) under Pantoea ananatis. RNAcentral's name for it is "partial 23S ribosomal RNA". It matches the Rfam family "Bacterial large subunit ribosomal RNA", at positions 1 to 228 of the family's 2925-position model. Lineage: Bacteria; Pseudomonadati; Pseudomonadota; Gammaproteobacteria; Enterobacterales; Erwiniaceae. The record is from RNAcentral.
GGGUUGUGAGGUUAAGCGACUAAGCGUACACGGUGGAUGCCCUGGCAGUCAGAGGCGAUGAAGGGCGUGCUAAUCUGCGAUAAGCGCCGGUAAGGUGAUAUGAACCGCAACAACCGGCGAUACCCGAAUGGGGAAACCCAGUGUGACUCGUCACACUAUCAUGCAGUGAAUACAUAGCUGUAUGAGGCGAACCGGGGGAACUGAAACAUCUAAGUACCCCGAGGAAAAGAAAUCAA